Molecule: ribosomal RNA, 253 nt
Filed under: uncultured bacterium
Lineage: Bacteria
Description: partial 16S ribosomal RNA
Rfam family: Bacterial small subunit ribosomal RNA
Source: RNAcentral
UACGUAGGGUCCGAGCGUUGUCCGGAAUUAUUGGGCGUAAAGAGCUCGUAGGCGGUUUGUUGCGUCGGCUGUGAAAUCCCGAGGCUCAACCUCGGGUCUGCAGUCGAUACGGGCAGACUAGAGGUAUGCAGGGGAGAACGGAAUUCCUGGUGUAGCGGUGAAAUGCGCAGAUAUCAGGAGGAACACCGGUGGCGAAGGCGGUUCUCUGGGCAUUACCUGACGCUGAGGAGCGAAAGUGUGGGGAGCGAACAGG